AUUAUUAAAGGGCCGCGGUAUUCCUGACCGUGCGAAGGUAGCAUAAUCAUUAGUCUUUUAAUUGAAGGCUUGUAUGAAAGGUUGGACGAAAAAUGGACUGUUUCAAAUAAAAAGAUUGAAUUUAACUUUUAAGUGAAAAGGCUUAAAUAAAUUAAAAAGACGAUAAGACCCUAUAAAUCUUUACAUUUGUUAUUAUAGGUUUUGGAUUGUGUGUGUAAAAAAAAAUAUAAUAAAAAUGUUGUGUUGGGGCAACAGUGAUAUAGUAAUAUUAAUUGUUAAAAAUAAAAACAAAUAUAUUUGUUAAAUAAAGAUCCUUUUUAAAGAUUUAAAGAUUAAGUUACUUUAGGGAUAACAGCGUUAUUUUUUCUGAGAGUUCUUAUCGAAGAAAAAGAUUGCGACCUCGAUGUUGAAUUAAAAAUUCUUUUUAAUGCAGCAGUUAAAAAAGAAAGUCUGUUCGACUUUUAAAUUUUUACAUGAUUUGAGUUCAGACCGGCGUGAGC
This 500-nucleotide ribosomal RNA is filed under the name Clibanarius antillensis. Its description in RNAcentral is "partial 16S ribosomal RNA". It matches the Rfam family "Bacterial large subunit ribosomal RNA", at positions 1919 to 2626 of the family's 2925-position model. The record is from RNAcentral. Lineage: Eukaryota; Metazoa; Arthropoda; Malacostraca; Decapoda; Diogenidae.